Molecule: ribosomal RNA, 491 nt
Filed under: Phlebiopsis gigantea
Lineage: Eukaryota; Fungi; Basidiomycota; Agaricomycetes; Polyporales; Phanerochaetaceae
Description: partial small subunit ribosomal RNA
Rfam family: Bacterial small subunit ribosomal RNA
Source: RNAcentral
CUCGCAAGAGUGAACUCAGCUAACUGAAAUCUUAAAAAGAUAAGGUAAGGGAAAUAAUGAUACUACCUUACUAUAGUGUUGUCUAAAUACCUGGUGCCAGAAGACUCGGUAAGGCCAGAAACGCGAACGUUAGUCCUAAUAAACAGGCGUAAAGGGUAUGUAGGCAGCUUCUUAAAAAAAAAUAGAAGAAGAUAGAAUCUAGUAGAGGUCAAUAACAAAUAAUGCUUAGAGUAGGGUUAAAAUCCUUAGAAACUACAGUGGAAUACUAAUGGCGAAGGCAUUUGACCAAUAAAGAUUGACGCUGAAAGACGAAGGUAAGGAGAGGAAAUAGGCUUAGAGACCCAUGAACCCCUUACAGUAAACGAUGAAUGGUGGUGAUCAGUUAUUAACUGGUUUCGAGGCUAACGCGAUGACCAUUCCGCCUUGUGAGUACGAUUCCACAAUUGAAAACAAAAAAAUUAGUCGGUCUCGAAGCAAACGAAGUGAAGCAU